RNAcentral lists this ribosomal RNA (684 nucleotides) under Melanelia agnata. Its description in RNAcentral is "SSU rRNA". It matches the Rfam family "Bacterial small subunit ribosomal RNA", at positions 378 to 1048 of the family's 1533-position model. The record is from RNAcentral. Lineage: Eukaryota; Fungi; Ascomycota; Lecanoromycetes; Lecanorales; Parmeliaceae.
AUAGCUACUUGCAUCAUUGAAAAUAUGAUGCAAGAUCGACUAUGUCGAAUAAAAUUCUAGGUAGAAUUAUGAUAAUGACAUUGUCUGCCUAUGUGUCUUGACCAAAUUACGUGCCAGCAGUCGCGGUAAUACGUAGAAGACUAGUGUUAUUCAUGUUUAAUCGGUUUAAAGGGUACCUAGACGGUAAAUCAAGCCUAAAAGGAAGGAAAUAAAGGGACUAAUUUACUAGAGUUACUUAUGAGGGGGUAUUAAAGUACUGCUGGUGUAGAGAUGAAAUUCUGUCAUACCUCUUUUCAAUAGAAAAAUAAUGGCACAGGUAUAGGCGAAAGCAUCCCCUUAUGUGAUAACUGACGUUGAGGGACGAAGGCUUUGUGUAGCGAACAGGAUUAGAUACCCCAGUAGUCAAAGCAGAAAAUGAUGAAUGUCAUAGAUUAGAUAUAUAAGUUUAUUCUAUAAAUGAAAGUGUAAGCAUUCCACCUCAAGAGUAAUUUGGCAACAUUGGAACUGAAAUCAUUAGACCGUUUCUGAAACCAGUAGUGAAGUAUGUUGUUUAAUUUGAUAAUCCGCAAAAAACCUUACCACAAUUUGAAUAUUUAUAUUUUUUUUAUUGUUUUUCUUUUUAAUUUUCUUCCGAUUUUCUAGUUAAAGGAAAAUUAGAAGAAAAAGAAAAAAGAGGCAAUAAGA